AUACGUAGGUGGCAAGCGUUGUCCGGAUUUACUGGGUGUAAAGGGCGUGUAGGCGGAGAUGCAAGUCAGGAGUGAAAUCUAGGGGCUCAACCCCUAAACUGCUUUUGAAACUGUAUCCCUUGAGUAUCGGAGAGGCAGGCGGAAUUCCUAGUGUAGCGGUGAAAUGCGGAGAUAUUAGGAGGAACACCAGUGGCGAAGGCGGCCUGCUGGACGACAACUGACGCUGAGGCGCGAAAGCGUGGGGAGCAAGCAGGAUUAGAUACCCUGGUAGUCCACGCUGUAAACGAUGAAUACUAGGUGUGGGGGGACUGACCCCCUCCGUGCCGCAGUUAACACAAUAAGUAUUCCGCCUGGGGAGUACGGCCGCAAGGUUGAAACUCAAAUGAAUUGACGGGG
RNAcentral lists this ribosomal RNA (396 nucleotides) under uncultured bacterium. RNAcentral describes it as "partial 16S ribosomal RNA". It matches the Rfam family "Bacterial small subunit ribosomal RNA", at positions 523 to 918 of the family's 1533-position model. The record is from RNAcentral.